ACGGCCUUCACACUGCACGCGGUUGCGGCCCUUCAGUGAGUUUCAGGAGCGGUGCAUCUGCUGCAGUGCAGCUACAUACCGAGUCUAUUUUUGCUGUGCUGCACGCACUGAAUUAAAGUGACACUGAAUUUUUCACGGUAAAAAUCAACAUGGAUUGACACGGAAAUGCAGUAAUUUCACAAUAAAUGUAUACUUAUUAAAUCCACUGUGUUUCACACGCAACACAUGAGAUUAUUGGCUAGGUUUAAAACAAGAAAAGGAGUUCGUUUAGAUAAAGAAGGCAACAUAAUAUAUACACUUUAAUGGAAGCAAAAUAAAUAAAUAAGUACAUUAAGACCCGUGGGAUCGCUUGUAAUAAAUAUUUAAAUGCAAAAGGCGAGAGUUGACUGUUUCCCUGUUUUAAUAUUUAAAUAUUUGCGAUAUCCUAACAAGAAAAGUAGCCUAUUUGUUGUUUUUAAAUGUUUUGCCGCUUGCUUAAGCAGAUGCGUUUUCUUAAAGACAAAUUUUCAGUUGGCAUACACUAAAAUAUUGAAUUGCAUAUUACGUUGAAAAAUUAUAACAAUUAAGUUGAAAAAAUCUAGAAUUCUUACACUUCACAAAACAUAAUGUCCCUUAAAAUAAAUUCAAAUAAAUAUAACUAUGUAGCACAGAAUAUAAUACUGUGCUUGACAAUGUCUUCAUCUUCACCAUCUACAAACAAAACCUGUGACGCAACACAUAUUCGUCCUUUUCAUUGGCUCUAUUUCUUAGUAAGCCUACCUUGUUCCAAUUUGCAUACUGUACCCAAUUUAUAGCACCUCUCACAAAGACAACUUAUUCAUUCUACAAGCAACAUCGUCUCAAGAAAAACCUUUACCAACCACUUAUCAAGAUUAUGGCUUCCUACACCUCACCAUCAAAAAUACCCAAAAAACACCACCCUGAGACUGAAUCAAUUCAUGACCGCCUUCAACUGAUUGCUUACAAAUGCCAAGAUCCAUCUGUCAACCCCAUCGAAACUGCACAGCAACUUUGUAAUCUAGGCACUGAAAUCAUGAAAAUCAUGUCACGCUGGCACAACCAAAACAAGGCUCUCCAGCAAUGUGUCACUACACUUCGUUCAGAGCUACAAGACACAAAAAAAAACUCUCAGAAGCCCUAACUUCUGCAGAAAUCAAUGCUGCUGCCCAAUGCUUUUUCAAAGAUGAACAAUGUGACAUGUCCACACAGACGGAGCAUGCCCCUUCAACACUAGCUGAACACUUACCUGAGAAUAACAGCAAACUAGAAAUACAAGUUGCAACAAAGUCUUCUCCAAAACCAAAUAAAGAUCUACAGAAUGCUUAACCAUACACUCAUUAUAUUGUGUCUACACUUUUAAUGCUUCACUGUAUUUUACUUUUGAAACUACACAUUUUUAUCCAUCCAUUUACUCUUAAACCACAUUAUUUUCUUUUAGCUCUUCUUUAUAAAACUUUUUAAAAUACAAUUCAACAUACUAUAUGCAUA
Long non-coding RNA from Carassius gibelio (silver crucian carp), 1488 nucleotides. RefSeq lists it as uncharacterized. The transcript is spliced from 5 exons. The record is from RefSeq and is a predicted model, not a curated record. Lineage: Eukaryota; Metazoa; Chordata; Actinopteri; Cypriniformes; Cyprinidae.